GGAAAAGAAACCAACAGGGAUUGCCUAGUAACGGCGAGUGAAGCGGCAACAGCUCAAAUUUGAAAUCUGGCCUCACGGUCCGAGUUGUAAUUUGUAGAGGAUGCUUCUGGCGACGUGCCUUCCGAGUUCCCUGGAACGGGACGCCAUAGAGGGUGAGAGCCCCGUCCGGUCGUGCACCUAGCCUCUGUGAAGCUCCUUCGACGAGUCGAGUAGUUUGGGAAUGCUGCUCUAAAUGGGAGGUAUACGUCUUCUAAAGCUAAAUACCGGCCAGAGACCGAUAGCGCACAAGUAGAGUGAUCGAAAGAUGAAAAGCACUUUGAAAAGAGGGUUAAAUAGUACGUGAAAUUGCUGAAAGGGAAGCGCUUAUGACCAGACUUGGGCUCGGUGAAUCAUCCGGCGUUCUCGCCGGUGCACUUUGCCGUCCCAGGCCAGCAUCAGUUCGCGCCGGGGGAUAAAGGCUUCGGGAAUGUAGCUCCUUCGGGAGUGUUAUAGCCCGUUGUGUAAUACCUGGUGUGGACUGAGGUCCGCGCUCUGCAAGGAUGCUGGCGUAAUGGUCAUCAGUGACCCGUCUUGAAACACGGACUGAGGAGUCGUCUUCGUAUGCGAGUGUUCGGGUGUCAAACCCCUACGCGUAAUGAAAGUGAACGUAGGAGAGAGCUUCGGCGCAUCUCCGACCGAUCCUGAUGUUCUCGGAUGGAUUUGAGUAAGAGCAUACGGGGCCGGACCCGAAAGAAGGUGAACUAUGCCUGUAUAGGGUGAAGCCAGAGGAAACUCUGGUGGAGGCUCGCAGCGGUUCUGACGUGCAAAUCGAUCGUCAAAUAU
RNAcentral lists this ribosomal RNA (822 nucleotides) under Verruciconidia persicina. RNAcentral describes it as "eukaryotic LSU rRNA". It matches the Rfam family "Eukaryotic large subunit ribosomal RNA", at positions 55 to 912 of the family's 3401-position model. Lineage: Eukaryota; Fungi; Ascomycota; Sordariomycetes; Hypocreales; Bionectriaceae. The record is from RNAcentral.